UAAGACAGAGGGUGCAAACGUUGUUCGGAAUUACUGGGCGUAAAGCGCAUGUAGGCGGCCAAGCAAGUCGGGUGUGAAAGCCCAGGGCUCAACCCUGGAAGUGCACUCGAAACUGCUCGGCUGGAGUCUCGGAGAGGAUCGCGGAAUUCUGGGUGUAGAGGUGAAAUUCGUAGAUAUCCAGAGGAACACCAGUGGCGAAGGCGGCGAUCUGGACGAGUACUGACGCUGAGAUGCGAAAGCGUGGGGAGCAAACAGGAUUAGAUACCCUGGUAGUCCACGCCUUAAACGAUGAGUGCUAGAUGUCGCGGGCAUUGACCCCUGCGGUGUCGUAGCUAACGCAUUAAGCACUCCGCCUGGGGAGUACGGCCGCAAGGCUA
This 377-nucleotide ribosomal RNA is filed under the name uncultured bacterium. RNAcentral's name for it is "bacterial SSU rRNA". It matches the Rfam family "Bacterial small subunit ribosomal RNA", at positions 521 to 896 of the family's 1533-position model. The record is from RNAcentral.